UAUUGGAAAAUGUGCCUGGAAUAAAAA
This 27-nucleotide ribosomal RNA is filed under the name Coscinasterias muricata. RNAcentral describes it as "partial 12S ribosomal RNA". The record is from RNAcentral. Lineage: Eukaryota; Metazoa; Echinodermata; Asteroidea; Forcipulatida; Asteriidae.